AAGACCUUGCGCUUUUGGAGCGGCCGAUGCCUGAUUAGCUUGUUGGUAAGGUAAAAGCUUACCAAGGCUUCGAUCAGUAGCUGGUCUGAGAGGACGGCCAGCCACACUGGGACUGAGACACGGCCCAGACUCCUACGGGAGGCAGCAGUGGGGAAUUUUGGACAAUGGGCGCAAGCCUGAUCCAGCCAUGCCGCGUGAGUGAAGAAGGCCUUCGGGUUGUAAAGCUCUUUCAGCCGGAACGAAACGGUUACGGUUAAUACCCAUGACUACUGACGGUACCGGAAGAAGAAGCACCGGCUAACUACGUGCCAGCAGCCGCGGUAAUACGUAGGGUGCGAGCGUUAAUCGGAAUUACUGGGCGUAAAGCGUGCGCAGGUGGUUUUGUAAGUCAGAUGUGAAAGCCCCGGGCUCAACCUGGGAACU
This 423-nucleotide ribosomal RNA is filed under the name uncultured bacterium. Its description in RNAcentral is "bacterial SSU rRNA". It matches the Rfam family "Bacterial small subunit ribosomal RNA", at positions 207 to 622 of the family's 1533-position model. The record is from RNAcentral.